UGACAGCGGAAUUUCGAGAAAAUUCAAUUUGUGAUUUAAAUAAUAUUGUUUUAUGUUUAUUUGACGAACUUUAGUGCUUAUAUUUGUGUGUAUGUGUUGCAUAAUAAGUGUAAAAAUAGUUUUGAACCAAAUUUAGUGUUAAUGAAAGUGUUAUUGUAUGUUUGUGCUUAAUUGUGUUAACAAAGCUUGUCUGGUGCCAACUGAUGCUAGCUUGACUUCCGUAGAAGAAAUGAGUAGCUGCACCACGCUGUGCGAAAUGAGUAGCUGCACCACGCUAUGCGGU
Molecule: long non-coding RNA, 283 nt
Organism: Bactrocera dorsalis (oriental fruit fly)
Lineage: Eukaryota; Metazoa; Arthropoda; Insecta; Diptera; Tephritidae
Exons: 3
Source: RefSeq, a predicted model, not a curated record